ACUCUAUUCAAGGGAACUUUGUGCAAUUACGAGGAGGUCUGGGUUGCCCAAUCGAAAGUCUGAGGUUGAUUUGUGAGGACGCAUAUGUAAUGUCGAGAGUUUUGGGGUCCAUUUGAGAAGAACCAAAAGGUUGAAGGGUCAAAUGUGAAAAUAAUCAAAAAUCCACCAUUGUGGAACUCCUGAGCUUUUCAAUUUGAAGAUGGCCGCGACGGCGAGAGGCAACGACUCCGGAGCUUCGGGACAGGCUACCACGACUCGAGCUCAGCCACGACGACGACUUGAAGCUGAGAGCGACACAAGGAGAAGCUGGCGGAUUCUAGACUCGGAUUGGAAGCUACGAUGACGAGAUUGAGGUGAUGACAGAGGUUUCUGUUGAUCGAAGAGCUUGGACCGUUGCUCUAAUGGUGGAAAGGUCGCAAAUCGAGCAUGGACAAAGUGAAGAAGAAGAAGUCGGAGCUCACCUCUUAGCGGGUCUGCAGCGAUCAAUGACAGUGGGCACUGGACGUCGCUCGGGAAGACGCGAACUG
Molecule: long non-coding RNA, 527 nt
Filed under: Brassica napus (rape)
Lineage: Eukaryota; Viridiplantae; Streptophyta; Magnoliopsida; Brassicales; Brassicaceae
Description: long non-coding RNA (BNAP_LNC015760)
Source: RNAcentral